Molecule: ribosomal RNA, 253 nt
Filed under: uncultured bacterium
Lineage: Bacteria
Description: partial 16S ribosomal RNA
Rfam family: Bacterial small subunit ribosomal RNA
Source: RNAcentral
UACGGAGGGUGCGAGCGUUGUUCGGAAUUAUUGGGCGUAAAGCGCGUGUAGGCGGUUUUUUAAGUCUGAUGUGAAAGCCCCGGGCUCAACCUGGGAAGUGCAUUGGAAACUGGGAGACUUGAAUACGGGAGAGGGUAGUGGAAUUCCUAGUGUAGGAGUGAAAUCCGUAGAUAUUAGGAGGAACACCGGUGGCGAAGGCGGCUACCUGGACCGAUAUUGACGCUGAGACGCGAAAGCGUGGGGAGCAAACAGG